GCCUGGUUGGCUCAGUCGGUUGGGCGUCCGACUUUGGCUCAGGUCAUGAUCUCGCAGGCCGUGAGUUCGAGCCCCGCAUCGGGCU
RNAcentral lists this transfer RNA (85 nucleotides) under Felis catus (domestic cat). It matches the Rfam family "tRNA". Rfam says of the family: Transfer RNA (tRNA) molecules are approximately 80 nucleotides in length. Lineage: Eukaryota; Metazoa; Chordata; Mammalia; Carnivora; Felidae. The record is from Rfam by way of RNAcentral.